Molecule: ribosomal RNA, 926 nt
Filed under: Oerskovia sp.
Lineage: Bacteria; Bacillati; Actinomycetota; Actinomycetes; Micrococcales; Cellulomonadaceae
Description: bacterial SSU rRNA
Rfam family: Bacterial small subunit ribosomal RNA
Source: RNAcentral
GAGCUCGUAGGCGGUUUGUCGCGUCUGGUGUGAAAACUCAAGGCUCAACCUUGAGCUUGCAUCGGGUACGGGCAGACUAGAGUGCGGUAGGGGUGACAGGAAUUCCUGGUGUAGCGGUGGAAUGCGCAGAUAUCAGGAGGAACACCGAUGGCGAAGGCAGGUCACUGGGCCGCAACUGACGCUGAGGAGCGAAAGCAUGGGGAGCGAACAGGAUUAGAUACCCUGGUAGUCCAUGCCGUAAACGUUGGGCACUAGGUGUGGGGCUCAUUCCACGAGUUCCGUGCCGCAGCAAACGCAUUAAGUGCCCCGCCUGGGGAGUACGGCCGCAAGGCUAAAACUCAAAGGAAUUGACGGGGGCCCGCACAAGCGGCGGAGCAUGCGGAUUAAUUCGAUGCAACGCGAAGAACCUUACCAAGGCUUGACAUACACCGGAAACUUCCAGAGAUGGUUGCCCCGCAAGGUCGGUGUACAGGUGGUGCAUGGUUGUCGUCAGCUCGUGUCGUGAGAUGUUGGGUUAAGUCCCGCAACGAGCGCAACCCUCGUCUUAUGUUGCCAGCACGUCAUGGUGGGGACUCAUAAGAGACUGCCGGGGUCAACUCGGAGGAAGGUGGGGAUGACGUCAAAUCAUCAUGCCCCUUAUGUCUUGGGCUUCACGCAUGCUACAAUGGCCGGUACAAAGGGCUGCGAUACCGCGAGGUGGAGCGAAUCCCAAAAAGCCGGUCUCAGUUCGGAUUGGGGUCUGCAACUCGACCCCAUGAAGUCGGAGUCGCUAGUAAUCGCAGAUCAGCAACGCUGCGGUGAAUACGUUCCCGGGCCUUGUACACACCGCCCGUCAAGUCACGAAAGUCGGUAACACCCGAAGCCGGUGGCCCAACCCUUGUGGAGGGAGCUGUCGAAGGUGGGACUGGCGAUUGGACGAAGUCGUA